AUCAAUAAGCGGAGGAAAAGAAACUAACAAGGAUUGCCUUAGUAACUGCGAGUGAACCGGCACCAGCCCAGACUGAUAAUCGCUUCGGCGACUUGUACAGUGUCGACCUGUCCCUUACACCGCGACUGAGACGCAACUGUGGCUGAAAAGCCCGGCCGGAGAGGGUGAAAGCCCCGUCCCGUCUCGGUCAAGUGAGAGGGCAGAGUCUAAGAGUCGGACAGCUUGGGAAUGCUGUCCUAAGUAGGAGGUAGACUUCUUCUAAGGCUAAAUAUCCACAAGAGACCGAUAGCGGACAAGUACUGUGAAGGAAAGAUGAAAAGAACUUUGAAAAAAGGGUUAAAAUACUUGAAAUCGCCGAGGAGGAAGCAGUGAUCACGCCAGUCCAGUUUCUCAAAAGUCAGGCACGCCUGGCUGGGAAGGAACUGGUAACCCCAGGAGUGGCUAUGGACCAAGCAUAGGUGUCGUUGACACUUGUGGCCUGCGUCCUACAGCUGCUUGUGGACUUGGUGUGCCCACUGGCCCGUCUUGAAACACGGACCAAGGAGUCUAACAUGUAUGCAAGUAGUCGGGUGUAAAACCCCACUGCGCAACGAAAGUGAGCCUUGUGAAGUUUGCAGCAAGGGCCGUGUCAACGAGCUCAGCAUAUAUGUUGGGACCCGAAAGAUGGUGAACUAUGCUUGGGAAAGGCGAAGCCAGGGGAAACUCUGGUGGAGGCUUGUAGAGAUUCUGACGUGCAAAUCGUUCUUCUAACCUGAGUAUAGGGGCGAAAGACUAAUCGAACCAUCUAGUAGCUGGUUCCCUCCGAAAUUUCCCUCAGGAUAGCUGGAACAGAGUAGUUUUAUCGGGUAAAGAUAAUGAUUAGAGGAUCGGGGGCUGCUAUAGCCUCCACCUAUUCUCAAACUUUAAAUUGGUAAGAUCGGGGAGUUGCUUAAUUGAACUCCUUGCCGAAUACCUGUUCCAAGUGGGCCAUUUUUGGUAAGCAGAACUGGCGACGAGGGUUCAACCUACGGCAGGGUUGAGGCGACAAAUUGGCUGCUCAUCGGAUGAAAAGGUGUUAGUUCAUUUAAACAGUAGGACGGUGGCCAUGGAAGUCGGAACCCGCUAAGGAGUGUGUAACAACUCACCUACCGAAUGGACUAGUCCUGAAAAUGGAUGUCGCUAAGCAGUCAGCCGAUACCUUGCUGUCUGAGCUUGUGCUGUUCAGACAGGUAGGAGGGCGUGAAGGUCGCGCCGAAGCGUGGGCGAGAGCCUGCGUGGAGCAGCCUUUAGUGCAGAUCUUGGUGGUAGUAGCAACUAUUCAAAUGGGAACUUUGAAGACUGAAGUGGAGAAGGGUUUCAUGAGAACAACAUUUGGUCAUGAGUAACUCGGUCCUAAGAUCAGGGGGAGUCCCGCGACGACACUGUCCAGAUCGAAAGGGAAUGCGGUUAAGACUCCGCAAGCAGGUGGUGGGUACUGUGUGGCAACACAACUGAACCCGGAGACGUCGGAGCGAGGUCCCAGGGAGAGUUCUCUUUUCUGUUUAACAAGCCGCUGCCCUGGAGGUCUUUACGACGAGAGAGGGCUUCUGGCUUGGAAGAGCAGCACACCCUCUGUGCUGUCUGGUGCACCUCCUUCGGCCCUUGAAAACCCGGGGGAAACCUUAUCGCUCGCCUGGCCGUACCCAUAACCGC
RNAcentral lists this ribosomal RNA (1671 nucleotides) under Folliculinopsis sp. Its description in RNAcentral is "partial large subunit ribosomal RNA". It matches the Rfam family "Eukaryotic large subunit ribosomal RNA", at positions 42 to 1857 of the family's 3401-position model. Lineage: Eukaryota; Ciliophora; Heterotrichea; Heterotrichida; Folliculinidae. The record is from RNAcentral.